Long non-coding RNA from Colias croceus (clouded yellow), 281 nucleotides. RefSeq lists it as uncharacterized. NCBI's taxonomy places the organism in Eukaryota, Metazoa, Arthropoda, Insecta, Lepidoptera, Pieridae. The record is from RefSeq and is a predicted model, not a curated record. The transcript is spliced from 2 exons.
AUGAAGCGCACAACUGUUCUAAACACGAACCACAAUGUUGCGUCGAUCUCCGCGCGCUUCAGCUGAUUUUAUAAGACCCUAUUGUGUUUUUAUGACCAAAAUACGUGUAAGAGAGAUUUCGGGAAGAUAAAUAGACCUAUCAAAGUAAAAAGACGCAUAUGAGGAAGUGAAAACCGGAGAUCAUUGCGAAAAGUGGCAGAGAAGCACAAUUAUUCGCUUCUAAGGUAAAUUCGAAUGCGAGAUGACUCUGGCGAGCAAGAAAAUAAAAAAAUGGGAUAUAA